GCUGACUUUUAACCAUUAAGCUCCCUAAAAACAAUUCUUUAAAAUCUCAUUUCCAUAUUUUAGCUAGGACACAUUGCUGAUAUUUCAAAAGUAACACGAAUACCAAACCAGAAAGGGCUUGAUGUAGGAACCAAACCCAGGCUGAUGCGAUGAAAAAAAUAAAAAGGGCAGAACCUUAGUUACCAAACUGCAGUGUGAGGUGACAGCCAUUGCUCUUUUAGUUUGGCUUGGUUAGUAAAAAAAAAAAAAAAAAAAAAAAAGGUGGCCUUGUUAUGUAACUAAAGCCCUUUAGGUAAUCUAAAUAAAAAAUCUUUCCCUUUUUUUUUCUUUUGCUGGCUGUUUUUUCUUUUUCCCUUUUUUUCUUUUUCAAUUAUGGGAAUUUAGCCAAUUCAGAGGCCUUGUUCCCCACAAUUUGGACUUUCCUUUGGAUUUCAUCAAGGCUGAUAGAGUUGGUCAAACCCAAUGGGAAAAAACAAAACAACAAAAAUACAAACAAACAAGCAACAGUAACAACAAAAACAGCUAAGCAAAUCAAACAAACAAUUGUACAAUUUAUAUGAUUACUGAGUACUCUAAUGGUAAGAAUUUAAGACCAGCUGGUUGUGAAUCUUAACUUUAGCUAAGACAGAACCCUGAUUCAGCUACUUGUCUAAGAAUGGGUCUCAGGCUGAAGACUGCUCUCUACCAUUCUAGAAGCAGGAAAAAUCUCAAAUUGUUUUGAAGUAAGCUCAGACUCCACAAAAGAGUUACCUGCCUUCCAUUGUCAUGGAAGUAGGAAAACUUGCUCUCCUUGUUGGAAGCAAGUGAAACUCCAGAAGAGGGGUUGUAUAGCCAAGUAAACUUUAGAUCUCGACCAAAUUUUGGGAGAUCAGGGAUUCUCUAAACAGGAGGCUCCCAGGCCUCAGCCAAGUAUCCUAUUGGUUUGAGCCAUAAAGAUAGCUCAAGCUGGUACCAAGCACCAAUAAGAAAUUUGUCAAAGGUCAGGGGAACCUCCACUCAGAAUCCCGUUGUGGUUGCCAAUUGUGAACCCAAAAUAUCUGAGACAGGUCUCAGUCAAUUUAGAAAGUUUAUUUUGCCGGGACUCUACAGUGGCGAUUGGUUGUUUCAUUAUGGAUGGAGGGGAUGAUGGUAACCUUGUUAUCAAAAAGAGGUUUGUGUCUGAGGCAGAACUAGGUGAAUGGUGCAAAAGGAGGCAAGAAGAAUGGGAGAAAGUUCGAAAACCUGAAGAUCCAGAAUAAUGUCCAGAGAAGGUUUAUGACCCUCGAUCUCUAUAUGAAAGGCUACAGGAACAGAAGGACAGGAAGCAGCAGGAGUAUGAGGAACAGUUCAAAUUCAAAAACAUGGUCAGAGGCUUAGAUGAAGAUGAGACCAGCUUCCUUGAUGAGGUUUCUCGACAGCAGGAGCUAAUAGAAAAGCAACAAAGAGAAGAAGAACUGAAAGAACUGAAGGAAUAGAGAAAUCACCUUAAGAAGGUUGGAAUUUCUCAAGAGAACAAGAAGGAAGUGGAAAAGAAACUGACUGUGAAGCCCAUAGAAACCAAGAACAAGUUCUCCCAGGCGAAGCUGUUGGCAGGAGCUGUGAAGCAUAAGAGCUCAGAGAGUGACAACAGUGUGAAAAGACUGAAACCAGACCCUGAGCCAGAUGACAAGAAUCAAGAGCUCUCAUCCUGCAAGUGUCUCAGAAACACCUCCCUGAGUGGCCCCUCAAUCCACUGCCCCUCUGCUGCAGUCUGUAUCGGCAUCCUCCCAGGCCUGGGCGCCUACUUUGGGAGCAGCGACUCCGAGUCCAGCUCAGACAGCGAAGGCACCAUCAGUGCCACCAGAAAGAUUGUCUCCUCCAUCUUCCAAACCAACACCUUCCUCGAGGCCCCCUAGUUUCUCUGUCCUUACACAGGGAGCUCCUCCCCAAUGGUAGAUCAGACCAUUCACGUUGCCUUACAGGCAUUAUGUCCCUCAAAAAAAAAAAAAACUCCUUUGCCUGCAUCCUGUGCACAACAUGACAUUUUUAACCAAUCCAAUCUAAAAAUGUGCUAGAAUCCACCUGUGGCCUGAAUCGUGUUUGGUUUCUCGUUCUACUCCAGUGCAGAUGACCAAACCUGUCCCGCUGCCACUUUCCUCACUGAUAUUGGGAGGAGGGCAAGGCCUAGCCGAAGUUCCACUAAAAAUGCCCUAGGAGAAUAGGCACUGGCUGACUUGCCAAAGGGUUUGGGUUUCAUUGCUUUCUGUUUUUUUCUUUUCCCUGACAGCACAAAGAAGUAAGGGCAGUUAUUGGACAGGUGUUAUUUAAACAUUCUAUUGUAGAUGAAUGUGUUGUUUGGUUCUACUGCAUUGUGGAGAAUGUGAGGGAAGAGAACUGACCCAGGUGAUGAAAUGGAGCCCCUCCCUGGAACUCACCAGUCCUUGAUGUUGUGUGACUAAGUAAAGAUGAUAAACCUCAUCUGCUGGGGGCGUUCACACUUGGCAUGCAUUGUGAAAGGGCCAUUCCCUCUCCCCCUCUAUCCAACCCCAUUUAUGCAUGAAGGGACUGCUAACAAGAAAGCUUCCAUCUCAAACCUUUUCUCUGCCUGGGAAAUUAUUUUAUGUUUGUUUUUGAAAUAAAGGAUUUAGUUUAAGAUUCUAAAUUUUAGAAAAGAAAAAGAAAGUUUAUUUUGCCAAGGUUAAGGACACAUCCAUGACAUAGCCUCACGAGGUCAUGAUGACAUGUGCCUAAGGUGGUCAGGGCACAGCUUGGUUUUAUACAUUUUAGGGAGACAUGAGACAUCAGUCAAUAUAUAUGUAAGAUGUACAUUGGCUCAGUCCAGAAAACUGGGACAACAAGAAGCACGGAGACGCUUCCAGGUCAUAGGUAGAUAAGAGAGAAAUGGUUGCAUUCUUUUGAGUCUCUGAUUAACCUUUUACUGAAUACACAACUUACAUGUGAGAGGGGGCAUAGAGGAAUAGUCACUUAUACCUUAGUCUGGCUUAGUGAAACAAUAAGGCAAAGGAAGCACAGAUACACAUUUGUCUCACAUGAGCAGAAGGAUGACUUUCAGUUCUGUCUGUCCUUUGUCCACAAGGAAUUUCCUUGUGUGCAAACUGUGAGGGAGAUAUGUCGCUUUUUAAUCUUUGUAGCUAUCUCAUUUAGAAACAGAAUGGGCGGCAGGUUUGCCCAACGACGCAGUUCCCAGCUUGACUUUUCUCUUUGGCUUAGUGAUUUGGGGGUCCCGAGAUUUAUCUUCCUUUCGCACCAUCAAGGGACUUCUGUAGACUCUGUACAUGAGUACAGGGAUCACCAGAGACCCCCUUUUUAUGAGUUCCUGUGCAGUGGAGCUGCUGGGGUAGGAUUAAUUUCUCUGCCUUCUUCCCCUGCCAUAGACAAUGUUUAACCUGAUUAUGCUCUGCAGGCAAGUAGCCACCCUUGGAUAUUAAUCUCCUUAUUGAAUAAGAUAAACUGUGAAGAAGGCAUGCCGUAAAGGAGGGAAUGCAAGGCUAGAAAAUAUGUCUGAAUCUGUCAUGGGAAGCAUGGAGGGAGAAAUGAAGAUGUGUGGACAUCUAGUAUUUUCUCUGCUUUCCCUUCUCUAUGGUCCUUUAAAAUUUUCAAUUCUCCUGAAAAGAAAAAUUGUAUCUUGUUUUUGUGAAGCCAUUUCCAGUAUGAAAACAAUUCCAUUUGACAGUGUAAACUGUCCUGUGCUUAGCUGUCUGCUUGCCCUGCACUCCCUCCCUGCCCCCAACCAUGUGAAACAGAUGCCUGCAGUGACACUGCCCAUCAAUCACCCCACAGGAAGCAGGGUACAAUUCAAAACCCCAAAAUGCAGAAACUUGUUCACCUGUGCCUUCCACACAGUGGUGAGGUAGGUAGGAAGCCUAGGGUAUUACUUGGAAAACAAGCAACAUUUUAAGACAGAUUAAGUGUAAACUUCUUUGCUUUUUUCUCUGGCAUAGUUUUGAGAAAUCACCACCAAUUGGAUACAUUGUAAUGUACAUAUAAAUUUUCUUCUUUUUUACUAUCUAAUUUACAAUUUAAUAUCUAACACACAAAAGUUGAUCAAAGGCACAAAAACACUAGAUAAAAGGCUGAAUAUUUAAUACCAACCCUUCUGAGUUAAUUACCAGAUCCUUGUUUUUCAGUAGGAGGCCAGCAAGUUAGGAGUUAAGAUGAAAGGAGUCCUAGAUUUAACCCCAAAAGACCCCCCUUUAAUUUUAGCCAGGUCAGGCCCACAAAGAGAUGUAGAUGUAAACUGAUUAUGAUGCUAAGUGUUUGACAGGGAUCCUCUUUGUGUCCAAGGCCAGUCAAAACUUGGCAAAAAGCUUGCCCUCUUUGCUUUUUAAUGGUCCAUUUUAAUUAUUUCUGUAAAUCUGCUUGAGAAAUAUUAAGAUUCUGAUUGUUGUGGACUGGUUUAUUAUUUGCUACCAUACCCGAAGUAUUUGCCUUCUCAUUAUAGAAGCUUAGUGCAAAGAACUGUCCAGAGCUAGUUCACUAAACUAAGCACACACUCGAUUUCCAAGGGGAGCAGAAAGGGCUUUACCAAUUGCUAAGUCACCAACAUAUCCCUUUGCCCAUCUUUCUAUGUCCUACAAAGACUUACGUGGGAUGUGCACAUAGUAUUUCCCCAGGGAAACACACACACACACACACACACACACACACACACACACACACACUCGAAUAUUGUUGAUUGGUUGGGUUUGGAGACUGCUUAAACUGUGUGUGUUAUGGUUUCAAAUUACUGUUUGCUUUUCUAACUUCUUAGAAGGGUAAACAAUUUGAAAACAGUUUAAACCCAUAGCAAAAGAAACUGGCAUCUGACAAACUCUUUAACUUAAUUCCUCUUAUUAAGACUCACAUACUUUUUUCUGGUGAUAAAUAAUGGAAAGAAAUGAUAGGUUUUGAUGUUAUAUUUUAUAGCUGUUUUUCUCCUCAAGGUUUGAAUGUUAUUAACAGCCAGACCCUACACAAACACCAACCAGUUUUCUAAGCACUGAAUCAACUGUAAACUAAAAAGAGCUCUAUCUGGAGGUUUUCUGGGUGAAAGCUCAGUGAUAUCUACGGUUUUUUUUUUCUUAGUCUCCUCUUCCAUCUCCAGCCUCUAAAACACACACACACACACACACACACACACACACACGAAAAACAAAUGAAUGCACAAUUUGCUCUAAGGAAAUACAGUAUAGAUAGGCAGGCAUGAGAGUCAUCACGUUAUCUUACUACCUCAUUCCUGUAUGUUGGGUAAAGGUUGUCUUUAAUCUCUCCUACCUUCAAACAAAUCAGGCACUAUUGUUGACAAAAUACCCCUAUUUACUUCUGGCAAGGCAAAUGUCAUUGAUGCUACCUUAGAUACUAACAUCACGUGUGGAAGCUUUUUCUAUUUUAAACUUUCAACCCUGUCU
This is an RNA transcript of Nomascus leucogenys (northern white-cheeked gibbon), 5366 nucleotides long. It is a transcript of the gene named PSME3-interacting protein pseudogene, with no coding region annotated. Lineage: Eukaryota; Metazoa; Chordata; Mammalia; Primates; Hylobatidae. The transcript has a single exon. The record is from RefSeq and is a predicted model, not a curated record.